CUGGGAUUCCUAUGCUUUGCUCAAAACAACUGACAAAAAGAGGUCUGCCUCUCCAACCCCGCUACUGCUGUGAAGGAUUGCUGUCUGAGACGGCAGCUCACUUCCUGUGCAUUAAUCAUUAGCUCCAUCUCUGGUAUGUGCAGCCAUGCACAUACCAAGGGUCCAAACUCCAAGCACUCAAGAUGGUUCAGAGGGAGGCACAAUCCAUAGCCACAGGCAGCCUGAGGACCGACUGCAUUUUGGAAUGCAGCCCCUGCACCGGGCCGGAGAGCAGGCACACACGUGGAAAGACACAGGAGACCUCCCAGAGAAACUGCAUGCUGCCCAAUCCUCCAGAGAGUGCAGAAAAAUCUGUUCAAGGCAACUUCAAAACAAGUCUGAUGAUGCCAGCAAAUGCACUUCAUGGAUGUGCAAAAGCUCUGAGUGUUGAGAAAACGGAGUUCUUUUAGAUGCCAGAUUAUUAAAAAGAGAGUGCAUGGCAGAGAAAGAAAGUUCACUUCUACAUCUCUACAACAGCACCACACAGCCCUGUUGGCUGUAAGAAAGAAAGAAAACCCUCUGAUUUCUGCCUGUUAUCAGUGCACCAAAUGACAAAACCUGGGACAUCAUCUCAGCUAAGCAGAACUGCUGAUAAUUGCAAGACACACUGCUGACAACUGAGAGACACAAGCUGGCUCUGGCCAUACAGGACAGACGUGCAGCCCAGGCAUGGCACUCUUGGGUCACAGCUGAGAGCCAGGUUUCACCUGCAGACUUCUUCAUAUACAUCAGGAUUGCUGGGCUUCUUUUUAACCCCUCAAGACAAUGGUUUCAAGUACAUUUUUAUUUCCAAAGACUACUUCCUGAUUCCUUCUUUUCUGACAUUUCUAAGCAUUGUUCCAAGUGCUGUGUUAACUUACCCAUAACUUGUUGCUAUGCUGCUAAGAAAAUAGAACCAUCCAUCAUAACAUCUCCUACCGAUUUUAUGCUGAGGGGAUUAUAAAUCAAUAGCUAUAAGGAGGCAGUGCGAAACAGACAGGUGCAUGCAUACGCACUGUAACGAAGUAAAGAUGAGUUACCAUGGAGCACUGGGAAGACCACGUGGAUGGAAGGACCAUGUAAGGUCUACGAACAUCUUAAAUGGUGAUUAAAAUGUUUUAGAAACGUUGCCAAACAAGACGAACUGCCCUCCUGUAAUCUGCCCAGGAAUGUUCCUUUAUGCGCCGUGCGCAUUUGUGCACACACUCGCUUCUAUCUGGGUCACAAUUUUAUAGCAACAGAGUAAGAAGAAGAUAUUGAGCAGCCCAUUAAGUGAUUUACCUUUAAGUUCUGAGGAGGUUCUGCCACUUUCCGCUGUCACAGAAGCUUAAGACAACAGUUUGCAUAGCCCUGACUUACCCCAUAGCCUGUGCUGGGCUAACCAGCCGCCCUGCUGGUGCUGGGUCACACAAAACAACUCUGGCAUCGGGAAUACAGAAAGGGCACAAAUGGAGCCUACAGAGCAGCGUUUGGUGUGCCGGGCCACCACGGCAUGGAACGGGAUGAAACUCAGAGGCAAACUGAAAAUGACCUCCUUGCUCUUCUUGUGAUCAAAGGAGAUUCGUGCUCUGGAGAGUAGGUUUUGUUUUAAGAUGAGACUCUUGAGUCUGUUCGUACCCGUUUCUGCUCAAGGACUAUUGAAUCAAUGUGGCCAGCUGCACCAAAAGCAACACAAACGAAAGCAGCGAGCCCCUCUCCUCGCCCCUGUGCCACCGAUACCUCUUCAGCAGCAGCUCCGAGGCUCACGUGCAGGACGGAGGUUUGCACUGCGGUAGCACCGAGGAGCCCAAGCAGCGGAUCAGGACGGCACUGAACCAAGCAAAUAAAUAAAUAAACAUGUAGAAAACAUCUGCUUUAUGCGCAACGGCGACGUGCAUGGAGCACAUGGAUAUUUCUCUACAGAAAUGAAAGCGUG
Gallus gallus (chicken) is the source of this 1933-nucleotide long non-coding RNA. The record is from Ensembl. Lineage: Eukaryota; Metazoa; Chordata; Aves; Galliformes; Phasianidae.